GCCAUCGCCUCCGCCUCCGCCUCCGCUCAUCGAAGGCCGCAGCCGUUCCUCUCUCCGCUUCCGCCUCCGCUCAUCGAAGGCCGCAGCCGCUCCUCUCUCUGCUUACGCCCCGUUUCUCUGUAGAUUUUUGUGGAUUAGUGUCAUGUGAUUUGUUGUGAAACAUCUGAAUUGCCGAUGAUGCUGUACCCAACAUUUGGAGGUGCAGAUGGCUCUAGGAUCCUGUUUACAGGAUGAACCUACCUCGAGGCGCUGUAUCCACAUGACAUUAAUGGGCAAGUCUGAGUUUCAGAUGAAUCUUUUGUUGCUGUUCUCAAUUUGAGUUCUGCUAUUUUUGAACUGAAAACAAGUUGAGUUUAACUAUCCUCACAAAUAUCUCUGAUUUGCGGAAGAGGCUGAAAUCAGCUUUGUCUCUUGAUUCUAUGAGAUGGGAGUUAAAUAAUGGCACGAGAUUCACUCAUACAUUCCCUGCCUGAAUCAUCUUUGCAGCAGAACCGGCUGCAAGAUAUCUGAAGAAACAAACUCGGACGCUCUAUGAUCAUUUGUGGUAAGCAAAGUCGGAUCUCAACAAUGAUAAAUGAUCCACCUACGGUUAGCAUAUCUCCUAAUGUGCUAAUAAAUGAUCUCAACAAUAAUAAAUGAUCCACCUACGGUUAGCAUAUCUCCUAAUGUGCUGAAUACAAGAACCUCUAUUGGGGUGACUUCAGGCAUCGAUUUUGUGUGCUUUGUCAUCUGGUCUCAACUUGCGAUCUGUUUGUGCUUCAUCAUCUGGUCAUUGGGAUGAUCAGUCUCUUGAGUCUGAUCGGUUCCCACUGGACUCGUUCCCUUGAAGCAAAAGCAUCCUGUUGUAUUCGCCCCUCUUGUGUGCCCUCUGAGUUUUUUUCCCAGGGCAACAGCGGCUCUUACAUACAUGCACAUAUGCCUGUUGACACUUUCUUGGUAUUUUGAUUUUGACAACCGUGAGGAGCCAAUUUUACAGUUACAGACCUGUAAUGACUCCUGUGGAAAUGAUCGCAUGGUCAAAGAACAUCUAAGGGACUGAGUUGUCUUUGUAUUUUGGAUCUUUGCUGUCAGCAGUUUAGAUGUCGCUGCCUUAUUUUUCAUCUGCUUCUCUUCACCGUAUUUGUGCAUGUAAACUAAUCCGAAUGGUUCUUGGACAAUGAGAAAUGUUAAGCAGAAAGCAGAAGUUCCUCUCGCUAUCCAGUGUGGAAUUUCUUGUGAUGUGAUUGAACGUUGAGGAGUUUGAUUGAACUUUUGUCUUCCAAUUUGAACAACCUCAACACAUAUGAAUUGGAACGACAAACAAAGCUUUUGACAAAAGCAGCCUAUCCAGAGAAUGGACUACGUGGUGGUGGUGGAGGAAGGUCCAGAGGAAAGAGGUAUGGUGAUAAUGGUGGGUGGGGUGGUUUACUUACCAAUCCUUUGCACCAUUUGCCGUUGCUCUGGAGUCAAAUGGUCUAACCAAAAUUUCCUGUUUCAGAUGUUUUCUCAAAAAAAUUGAGCUGUACUGCUGGCCUCUUCUCUUAUUUUUUUCCCUUGUUAAAUUUUUUAUCUUCCUGUGCAAAUCAAGGGUGGCAAAUGAUGUGAAAUAUGAUAUGCUAAACACUGAAUCUUUGAUAUAUUUACAAAACUCCGCUUAUUAUCUGAUGCCACUCAUCAGUUUCAACUUUCAACCCAGUUUUUGAAGAGGUUAGCUGUGCAAUUUUGGUUGCUGUUAGUAUCGGUGUUUUCUUAAUGCCAUCAUACCUGUGUUUCUGAUUAAUUCAUGAAGCACAAGGGGAAAAAUGGUUGAAUUUCUUAGUAUGAGCCAUACGAAUGUUAAUUAUUAUUUUUGACUGACAAACCUGUUAUAUUGCACUUGAUAAAAGCUGUGUACCAAAAUAACUGGAACAUUCUAAUGGUGCAGUUGUUUUGGAAAGUUACUUUAACCUAAUCAGAGAGAUGGUUUACAAAAACAAUUUUGAUGUGUACUAUCCCAAUGCUGAUAUCUGGAAAUUCAUGAUUAAUAUAGCUGUUAAACCUUUGUAUAUUGCAUGUCUUCUUUUUGAUCUUGAAUUAGGAGCUUGUAAUUUUUUCUGAAAUGCCAGUGAUGCUAUGCCCAACAUCUUGAGGCGCAGAUGGCUCCAGGAUCCUGUUUACAGGAUGAACCUACCUGAAGUCCCUGUAUCCACAUGACAUCCAUGCGCAAGUCUGAGGUUGCUGAUGAUCCCAUGAUUUAUUCUUUUUAAGAGAAAAACUAAUCCUCUGUAUCAAAUGAUGAGAGAAUACUGCAACAAUAUGAUCCAUGAUCUGAUUCUUAGUAUUCAAGUCUCUGAUGAUCACUUUGCCAAUUUUUCUUGUUUUUUUCUCUUGUUUUUUUUCCAAAAGUUGAUCCUAAUGGGGUGUGAUGAAGAGAAGUUGGUCCGUGUUUCUGAUGUCCUGUGACUGAUAACCAUCUUUAAUUUCCCUCUGAUCCCUCGUGCAAGUGCAUCUUUGUUCAUCCAUUUUUCUUGUAAUUGUCUUUUUAGAUGUUUUCUCGUAUUUGCCUAGUUUUGUUGCAUUGCAUUGAUGAAUUAUGAAUUUUCGCAUGUCAGACUUCAGAGAUGCCUCUGGCUUCAAUGAGAAGUCAUUUCAUAUUACUGAGCAAUGAAAUACCAUCUGUAAUGUUUCAGGGCUGCCUCACCCUUGUCUCUGAUGAACACUUUGCCAAAUUUCUUUUUUUUCUCUCUCGUGUUCUCUUUCCAAAAGUGGAUCUUUUGUGGGAUGUGCUGAAAAGUUGGUCUGUGUUUCUGAUAAUACUAAGUCUUUGUAUCAAAUGAUGAGAGAAUACUGCAACAAUAUGAUCCAUGAUCUGAUUCUUAGUAUUUAAGUCUCUGAUGAUCACUUUGCCAAAUUUUCUUGUUUUUUUCUCUCUUGUUUUUUUUCUCCAAAAGUUGAUCCUCAUGGGGUGUGAUGAAGAAAAGUUGGUCCGUGUUUCUGAUGUCCUGUGACUGAUAACCAUCUUUAGUUUCCUUCUGAUCCCUCGUGCAAGUGCAUCUUUGUUCAUCCAUUUUUCUUGUAAUUGUCUUUUUAGAUGUUUUCUCGUAUUUGCUAGUUUUGUGGCAUUGCAUUGAUGAAUUGUGAAUUUUCGCAUGUCAGACUUCAGAGAUACCUCUGGCAUCAAUGAGAAGUCAUUUCAUAUUACUGAGCAAUGAAAUACCAUCUGUAAUGUUUCAGGACUGCCUCACCCUUGUCUCCGAUGAUCACUUUGCCAAAUUUCUUUUUUUUUUCUCUCGUGCUUUCUUUCCAAAAGUGGAUCUUUUGUGGGAUGUGCUGAAAAGUUGGUCUGUGUUUCUGAUAAUACUAAGUCUUUGUGUAUCAAAUGAUGAGAGAAUACUGCAACAAUAUGAUCCAUGAUCUGAUUCUUAGUAUUUAAGUCUCUGAUGAUCACUUUGCCAAAUUUUCUUAUUUUCUCUCUUGUUUUUUGUUAUGAAAAGUUGAUCUUCAUGGGGUGUGAUGAAGAGAAGUUGUUCUGUGUUUCUGAUGUCCAGUGACUGAUAACCAUCUUUAAUUUCCUUCUGAUUCCUCGUGCAAGUGCAUCCUUGUUCAUCCAUUUUUCUUGUAAUUGUCUUUAGAUGUUUUUUGGUAUUUGCCUAGUUGUGGCAUUGUGUUGAUGAAUUAUGAAUUUUCGCAUGUCAGACUUCAGAGAUGCCAUUUGUAAUAUUUCGGGGACUGCCUCACCCUUGCAACCGUGAUUCUUAGUUCUCCCUCUGAUCCUAAAUAUAAGUCUUUCAAGGGAUUUCAAAAUGGACUACAUACGGAUGUAUAGAGACAUAUUUUAGAGUGUAGAUUCAGUCAUUUGCUCCGUAUGUGGUCAUAUUGGAAUCUCUAGAAAGACUUGUAUUUAGGAACGGAGGGAGUAUUUAAGUCUCUGAUGAUCACUUCGCCAAAUUUCUUUUUUUCUCUCUCUUGUGUUUUGUUUCCAAAAGUAAUCUUUGUGAGAUAUGAUGAAGAAAAGUUGGUCGUGUUUCUGAUGUCCAGUGACUGAUAACCAUCUUUAAUUUCCUUCUGAUCCCUCUGCAAGUGCAUCUUUGUUCAUCCAUUUUUCUUGUAAUUGUCUUUUUAGAUGUUCUCUUGUAUUUAGUUUUGUGGCAUUGCUGUGAUUAAUCUGGCUUCAAUGAGAAGUCAUAUCAUAUGACUCAGCAAUGAAAUACCAUCUGUAAUGUUUUGUUACUGCGUCCUUGCUACUGUGGAUGCUUUUGCAAUUUCUACUGAUGGAAGGAAGUUCAUAUGCCCUGCAAUAAAGUAGAGUUAGCAUGAUUGAUGAAAA
Triticum aestivum (bread wheat) is the source of this 4285-nucleotide long non-coding RNA. RefSeq lists it as uncharacterized. The transcript has 2 exons. Lineage: Eukaryota; Viridiplantae; Streptophyta; Magnoliopsida; Poales; Poaceae. The record is from RefSeq and is a predicted model, not a curated record.